GUAUAAAGUGGCGAACGGCUGAGUAACACGUGGGCAACCUGCCCUUUGCACUGGGAUAGCCUCGGGAAACCGAGGUUAAUACCGGAUACUCCAUAUUUGUCGCAUGGCGAAUAUGGGAAAGCUCCGGCGGCAAAGGAUGGGCCCGCGGCCUGUUAGCUAGUUGGUGGGGUAGUGGCCUACCAAGGCAAUGAUGGGUAGCCGGGUUGAGAGACCGACCGGCCAGAUUGGGACUGAGACACGGCCCAGACUCCUACGGGAGGCAGCGGG
This 267-nucleotide ribosomal RNA is filed under the name uncultured Atopobium sp. RNAcentral describes it as "partial 16S ribosomal RNA". It matches the Rfam family "Bacterial small subunit ribosomal RNA", at positions 88 to 354 of the family's 1533-position model. The record is from RNAcentral. Lineage: Bacteria; Bacillati; Actinomycetota; Coriobacteriia; Coriobacteriales; Atopobiaceae.